GAUGAACGCUGGCGGCGUGCCUAAUACAUGCAAGUCGAGCGGUAACACUUCGGGUGACGAGCGGCGGACGGCUGAGUAACACGUAGGAACGUACCCCAAACUGAGGGAUAAGCACCGGAAACGGUGUCUAAUACCGCAUGUGGUCUUCGGAUUAAAGCUUCGGCGGUUUGGGAACGGCCUGCGCAUGAUUAGCUUGUUGGUGAGGUAAUAGCUCACCAAGGCGACGAUCAUUAGCUGGUCUAAGAGGAUGAUCAGCCAGACUGGGACUGAGAACGGCCCAGACUCCUACGGGAGGCAGCAGUAGGGAGUCUUCCACAAUGGGCGAAAGCCUGAUGGAGCAACGCCGCGUGCAGGAUGAAGGCCUUCGGGUCGUAAACUGCUUUUAUUGGUGACGAUUAUGACGGUAGCCAAUGAAUAAGGAUCGGCUAACUCCGUGCCAGCAGCCGCCGCGG
Molecule: ribosomal RNA, 452 nt
Filed under: uncultured bacterium
Lineage: Bacteria
Description: partial 16S ribosomal RNA
Rfam family: Bacterial small subunit ribosomal RNA
Source: RNAcentral